This is a transfer RNA of Prunus persica (peach), 73 nucleotides long. It matches the Rfam family "tRNA". Rfam says of the family: Transfer RNA (tRNA) molecules are approximately 80 nucleotides in length. Their secondary structure includes four short double-helical elements and three loops (D, anti-codon, and T loops). Further hydrogen bonds mediate the characteristic L-shaped molecular structure. tRNAs have two regions of fundamental functional importance: the anti-codon, which is responsible for specific mRNA codon recognition, and the 3' end, to which the tRNAs corresponding amino acid is attached (by aminoacyl-tRNA synthetases). tRNAs cope with the degeneracy of the genetic code in two manners: having more than one tRNA (with a specific anti-codon) for a particular amino acid; and 'wobble' base-pairing, i.e. permitting non-standard base-pairing at the 3rd anti-codon position. NCBI's taxonomy places the organism in Eukaryota, Viridiplantae, Streptophyta, Magnoliopsida, Rosales, Rosaceae. The record is from Rfam.
GUGUUUGUAGUCCAACGGAAAAGGACAAUUGCUUGACAAGCAAGAGAACUGGGUGUAAGUCCCAAGUUACACA